GUAACGGCGAGUGAAGCGGUAACAGCUCAAAUUUGAAAUCUGGCUCCUCGGGGCCCGAAUUGUAAUUUGUAGAAGAUGCUUUGGGUCUGGGCCUGGCCUAAGUUCCUUGGAACAGGACGUCGUAGAGGGUGAGAAUCCCGUAUGCGGCUGGCGCCCGUGCCCGUGUAAAGCUCUUUCAACGAGUCGAGUUGUUUGGGAAUGCAGCUCUAAAUGGGUGGUAAAUUUCAUCUAAAGCUAAAUAUUGGCCAGAGACCGAUAGCGCACAAGUAGAGUGAUCGAAAGAUGAAAAGCACUUUGGAAAGAGAGUUAAACAGUACGUGAAAUUGUUGAAAGGGAAGCGCUGGCAACCAGACUUGGGCGCUGUUGAUCCGCUAGGGUUCUCUCUAGGGCACUCGGCAGUGCGCAGGCCAGCAUCGGUUUGGGGGGUUGGAGAAUGGCUGGUGGAAUGUGGCUGUCUUUGGGCAGUGUUAUAGCCACCGGUGGCAUGCAGCCUCCCCGGACCGAGGACCGCGCUUCGGCUAGGAUGCUGGCGUAAUGGUUGUCAGCGACCCGUCUUGAAACACGGACCAAGGAGUCUAACAUCUAUGCGAGUGUUUGGGUGUUAAACCCAUACGCGGAAUGAAAGUGAACGUAGGUGAGAACCCGCAAGGGUGCAUCAUCGACCGAUCCUGAUGUCUUCGGAUGGAUUUGAGUAAGAGCAUAGCUGUUGGGACCCGAAAGAUGGUGAACUAUGCCUGAAUAGGGUGAAGCCAGAGGAAACUCUGGUGGAGGCUCGCAGCGGUUCUGACGUGCAAAUCGAUCGUCAAAU
This 808-nucleotide ribosomal RNA is filed under the name Podosphaera xanthii. Its description in RNAcentral is "eukaryotic LSU rRNA". It matches the Rfam family "Eukaryotic large subunit ribosomal RNA", at positions 83 to 910 of the family's 3401-position model. The record is from RNAcentral. Lineage: Eukaryota; Fungi; Ascomycota; Leotiomycetes; Helotiales; Erysiphaceae.